AAUAAAUAAAUACAAUAUUUUCCUGCUAUCCUCCUAACACUUGAACUUGAGCUAACGCAAUUUAAGCUUCAAGUCUACCCAAUGUAAGUAAGUGAAGCAAUGAACAGUGCCUAAUGGCCCCUUAAAAUGUAGAACACCUAUCUACAUAGCUCCUUCUUUUCCACCCAUUUAAACAAAUGAUAGCUACUGAUGUUUGAUUUUACAUUAAGAAGAACAUGUUGUCAAAAGUACCUAAAUCAUUUUCUCACCUCGCUGCUUCACUUUCCCUUUGUGGAUGCAGACUAAGGAUCUUAAUUUAUGAGUUACCCACUCGAGCUUCUUUGCCAGACACCUGGACCUGUUUGCAGAAUUAAAUUAUUGGCUGUGAAUCUAACAUCAAACCUCCAGAUGGCACCAGAGAACUGAGAAAAACAAUUCCAUUUCCAAGGAGACUUUGUGUUGCUAACAAGAGACAAGCAGGCUGAGAGAAAACGCCCUGUUUGUCACAAAGUUACAUCUGCGAGCUCCUUCAAGGAAGGGAGGUGCCUGACGCUCCUUGUUAAUGCCCGUUGCUGUUAUGCUGUUACAGACUUGCAAUUGUGCAACUCUGUGAUGUAAACAGGCAGGCUUUUGUAUUUUUGCUGUGCCCCUGGAGAGUGGAGAGGGUGGUUCUCUUGGCUGUCUCUGGAACAAAUUUGGAGGAAAAGUCCUGUGAGGGUACAGUGACAAGGUGACCAUCUACAAGCCAGGAAGAAAGGCCUAACAAGAAACCAACUCUGCUAGUGCCUUGAUCGUGAACUCCCAGCCUCUAGAACUGUGAGAAAAUAAACAUCUGUUGUUUAAGCCA
Molecule: non-coding RNA, 826 nt
Organism: Macaca mulatta (Rhesus monkey)
Lineage: Eukaryota; Metazoa; Chordata; Mammalia; Primates; Cercopithecidae
Source: RefSeq, a predicted model, not a curated record